UGAGGAAUAUUGGUCAAUGGGCGAGAGCCUGAACCAGCCAAGUAGCGUGAAGGAUGAAGGUCCUACGGAUUGUAAACUUCUUUUAUAAGGGAAUAAAACGCUCCACGUGUGGAGCCUUGUAUGUACCUUAUGAAUAAGCAUCGGCUAACUCCGUGCCAGCAGCCGCGGUAAUACGGAGGAUGCGAGCGUUAUCCGGAUUUAUUGGGUUUAAAGGGAGCGCAGACGGGAUGUUAAGUCAGCUGUGAAAGUUUGCGGCUCAACCGUAAAAUUGCAGUUGAUACUGGCGUUCUUGAGUGCAGUUGAGGUGUGCGGAAUUCGUGGUGUAGCGGUGAAAUGCUUAGAUAUCACGAAGAACUCCGACUGCGGAGGCAGCUCACUAAACUGUAACUGACGUUCAUGCUCGAAAGUGUGGGUAUCAAACAGGAUUAGAUACCCUGGGUAGU
RNAcentral lists this ribosomal RNA (443 nucleotides) under uncultured Bacteroides sp. RNAcentral describes it as "bacterial SSU rRNA". It matches the Rfam family "Bacterial small subunit ribosomal RNA", at positions 355 to 794 of the family's 1533-position model. Lineage: Bacteria; Pseudomonadati; Bacteroidota; Bacteroidia; Bacteroidales; Bacteroidaceae. The record is from RNAcentral.